AGUUUGAAUUGGGCAGAAUUAGAGGUGUACAUUUGGCAGGGGAGUUAUCCACCCCUCGCUCUGCCCUCCUCCCUCGGUCUGCCCGGUGGUCGGGGCGCCCAGCCUGCCUCUCGCCAGGUCGUGUCGAUUCAUCGAUAUCUCGCAAUGUAUUAGAGAGAGGGGAACCGAAAAUAACCGUGGCAGAGGGAACCGGUCCGGCGGCGGCGCGCGGCUUAUCCGCUCCCGGCGCCCGGGUGGAAAUAUUAUUAUAACGACGACUGGCUUGCUCGCUUUAACCGACUUUUCUUUUCCCGUGCUUAUCUCAGGUGGCGAUGGGGACGGGACCUGCUGCAGCUACCGUGCGCGUCGCGCCGCUCACCGCCCACCGCCUCCGCUCUCGCUGUCGAGACUGUCAGAUUAUGUUCACGUGAGAAGACACAACAUGCGCAUGCGCUUGUGAGCAGCGCUCGGCCGCUCGCGUCGUCUGCUGCUCGGCUGUCUGCGCUCGGGGCGUGAGAAGACCAUUGUGGUGGGCGCCCUGCACGGGAGGAGGAGGAGGACCACGACGUGGAGCUAGGACGAGGAUGGAGAGGAGAAGUGCACGACGACAUGGCACCGCCACCGGCGAACACCAGGCUGCUGCUGUGCGGUGCCGCCGUCAUGACCUCCGCGGCGGAGGAGGAGGUGGACGCCCGGAGACUUCCGCUCUGAUGCGAGCCCUGCCACGGCCCGGCAGACCUGCCCCGCAGUUGCACCCCAAAAUAUUCGGACGCGUCGACCAACAACAUUCCUCUGGCGUUAAUCGCAGAAGCCGUUGGGCAGCUGCGCGGUGCCUUUGGCGAUAAAACGCUGCGAACGCGACGCUGGAGCCGAUACGGGCGGCUGCGCGAACAAGACGCAGCCAACUCCUCCCCGCCUCCCUAACCCUCCGGCCGUCAGAAAAGCUGCUGUCGAGUAUUGUUUCCUCGGCGGAGCUCGGCACGCACAUCGGAAGUAAGUAUCGGUGGGAAUUGUGCGGAACCAUACGCGCCACUAGAGCGCUCCCGCCCCACCUCGCUAUGCCCUGCCACGCCACGCCACGCCACGCUCCGUCUCGAUAUGUCGCCGGCCAUCACCGGAGCGACAACUGGACCGAAGUGAACUGAACUGCGCGCAGGGCUCUCGUCGACCGGUUUGCUUCUCCGAGAAAGCAGACACACCGCGCCCCGCCCGCUGCAGACAUUCCGCACAGCAUCGUAAAAACCGAUCCCGGGGCGUAUAGUGAGACGGGGGAGAGACACACACACACACACUCGAGCCGGCCGAUGGAUUUGAACUUCGCGCGCAACUGGAAAGAUGUAUACAGGGGAUGAUGUUUUUGUUGUUGUUUGCGAAAAGGAAAGCAAGAGCGAAAUGCUCCAGUUGGAUGUGUGCCCAAGGGGCGCAUGGGUAAACGCGGGCAGCAGCAGGGCCGCCGUGGCCCGACCAAGGGCGAGGGCUCUUUCUUUCUCUCUCUCUCUCUCUCUCUCUCUCUCUCUCUCUCUCUCUCUCUCUCUCUCUCUCUCUCUCGCAUUCUCUUCCCGGCACUCUGACCGCGUACCUCCGCGAAUGAGCAUGCCGCCGAUGUAUAUGCAUGUAGCGGAGGUGCGAGGCAGGUCCCCCCCGGGCCGGGCUGGAAAUGGUGGGGGCGACUUGUGUGCUAAAGGUCCAUCCCAUAAAUCCUUCGGGAGUGUCCGGCACCGGACGCCGUCGGGCCCCGCUGUGACCUGGAGGGAGCAGAAGGGAGUGCGAGGAGCAGGACACAA
RNA transcript from Frankliniella occidentalis (western flower thrips), 1763 nucleotides. RefSeq lists it as uncharacterized. The record is from RefSeq and is a predicted model, not a curated record. The transcript is spliced from 4 exons. NCBI's taxonomy places the organism in Eukaryota, Metazoa, Arthropoda, Insecta, Thysanoptera, Thripidae.